Molecule: non-coding RNA, 2635 nt
Organism: Oncorhynchus mykiss (rainbow trout)
Lineage: Eukaryota; Metazoa; Chordata; Actinopteri; Salmoniformes; Salmonidae
Source: RefSeq, a predicted model, not a curated record
ACCUGGUACUACCUAAAGGUUAAGAUAUGACCUGGUACUGCCUAAAGGUUAAGAGAUGACCUGGUACUGCCUAAAGGUUAAGAGAUGACCUGGUACUGCCUAAAGGUUAAGAGAUGACCUGGUACUACCUAAAGGUUAAGAUAUGACCUGGUACUGCCUAAAGGUUAAGAGAUGACCUGGUACUGCCUAAAGGUUAAGAGAUGACCUGGUACUGCCUAAAGGUUAAGAGAUGACCUGGUACUACCUAAAGGUUAAGAGAUGACCUGGUACUGCCUAAAGGUUAAGAGAUGACCUGGUACUGCCUAAAGGUUAAGAUAUGACCUGGUACUACCUAAAGGUUAAGAGAUGACCUGGUACUGCCUAAAGGUUAAGAGAUGACCAGGUACUGCCGAAAGGUUAAGAGGUGUCAUCUGUUUGCUGCAAAUGCACUCAAACCUGUCUAUCCUUUUGGACCAAAUUAGAAUCUGUCGUUAGGCCAUAUUACUAAAAACCUACUGGAUUUAAUGAUGUCUAGGUAACAGAUGUUUACCAGUUGUAAAUUUCACUGUGCCUUGCAAAUUCUUUUUACAUUUUUUUUUAUUUAAGCAGUGAGUAUAAUAGGUUACUUCCCCAAUCUAGAUAUAGGACCUGGGCUGUCUCAAUAGUGUAAGCGUGCUUCCUUUCAUUGAACCUUUCCUUCGUCAUCUCUGAUCUGGCAGGUGGAAGCAACAUAUGGUGAAAGCCUCUCUCACCUAUCAUGAAGGAAAGGAGGUGAAAGAAGGAAGCCAGUGUAGUGGAUUGAGAUAUCUCCCAUGCAGCCCCAGUCUCCUUUAUAUGAAGCCCAUUGCUCUUAGACACCGGUCAGUGUUGUCUUAAAAAGGAAAGGAGAUGAGAGAAGGAAGCCAGUGUAGUGGAUUGAGAUAUCUCCACACCGGUCAGUGUUGUCUUAAAAGGGAAAGGAAACGAUUUGGUAUAUGAAUGAACCCGGUCUGCCAAACAACAGCCAAACAGCUGUUAAAUAUGCCGACCUGGUCAGGUCAAGGGGUCAGUAGUAACUCCAGGCUCUUAUGUCCACUACUACGGUGGCCCAGAGUGGACAUCUAUUUGUUUACAACCAAGGUCGGGGGUAAAUUCCAUUUCAAUUCAGGAAGUAAAAAUUGGAAUUUCAGUCAUCGUCAAUGCUUUUUUAAUGAGGAAACAUUUGGAAUUGUAAUUUGGUUUUAACUUUCUGAUUUGAAAUGGAAUCGACCCCCCCCACCCCACCCCCCCCCUGUUUACAACCAUGUACAUUAUUACAUACCGAUGAAUGUUCUAGUUUGUUCAGUUCAAAGUGCUGCGUUUUGGUGUUUUCUUAAAAUGCAUCUCUCUCCAUUCAUCAGGUUGACGUUUCUCUAGCUUGCUUUAGGUUUGGAUAAAAGCAUCAGAGCAUAGCUACACGUUGUUGUGUUUAUUUAUUUUACUUUUUGGGGGGGAGGGGGUUCGGGGGGGGGGGGGGGGGGGGGGGGGGGGGGGGGGGGCGGGACAUUCGGUUCGGAUUUUAUUUCAUUAUUUUUCUAGGUUGAUCAGAAAGCAAGUACAGUGAUGGUUGAAUUGACUCACUGCUUUUGUUAUUGCUCCUGCUUCAUGUGUUUAAUUCAUGUGUUUAAUUCUCUCCUUCUAGCCCGGGUCACAGAUCUGUUUGUGUGCAGGGUAGCCUAGUGGUUAGAGCGUUGGACUAGUAACCGGAAGGUUGCAAGUUCAAACCCCCGAGCUGACAAGGUACAAAUCUGUCGUUCUGCCCCCUGAACAGGCAGUUAACCCACUGUUCCUAGACCGUCAUUGAAAAUAAGAAUUUGUUCUUAACUGACUUGCCUAGUAAAAUAAAAAUUCCCUUAUGGAGUUGUCAUGCAAAACAAUUGGCUUGAAAGUACAAACAAAAAAAUACAUUUUGAGUUGGCAAGAGCACAAACAGAUCUGGGACCAGGCUAAUCUCUUUCCAACUGGGAUGAUGAUGAUGAUGAUGAUGAUGAUCGUGGUUUUGUAUUGGGAAGUUACACCCUGCCCACUGGCCACACGCUUGUUGAAUCGACGUUGUUUCCAUGUCUUUUCAAUGACAUCACGUUGAGCCAACGUGAAAUAGACGUUCAGUUGACAUCUGUGCAGUUUGACAAUAUGCCGUGUUUUUUUUUAUUUAUUUUUGCUGUAGGGGUGAAGUCGCCCCUAGAUACUGAUUCUGGGUCAGUUUUACGUUUCUCCACUAUUGUUAAAAUUAGGAUUAGGGGAGCGGAAUCUGAUUCUGGAUCAGUUUUACAAUUCUCCACUAUUGUUAAAAUUAGGAUUAGGGGAGCGGAAUCUGAUUCUGGGUCAGUACCUAGACAAAACUUGACCCCCCCCCCCCCGGCGUUUUCUCAUGUUUCCUACCUGGAAAGUAUUGGUGUGGAUCACAGUAACGGACUUGUGACCUGUUGUGAAGAUGUUCUAUAUGUUUUAGUGGGAAAGUGGGUUUUUUGUUGUUCCACCAUGUUGUUUUCUCUCUAUCUCAAAGUGAUGAUGAUGAUGAUGAUGAUGAUGUCGGCUGAGUCCAAACUUCUCUCACUUUGGGGCCGGCACCUGGAAUAAAAAAACAAAAAGAGUCUUGCAGGCGAUGAUGCUGAUGAUGCAAGAUGAUCGAGAACAA